GUAGGGAAUAUUGGGCAAUGGACGAGAGUCUGACCCAGCCAUGCCGCGUGCAGGAAGACGGCGUUAUGCGUUGUAAACUGCUUUUAUCUGGGAAGAAAAAGUCCAUGCGUGGAAAAUUGCCGGUACCAGAUGAAUAAGCACCGGCUAACUCCGUGCCAGCAGCCGCGGUAAUACGGAGGGUGCAAGCGUUGUCCGGAUUUAUUGGGUUUAAAGGGUGCGUAGGCGGCUCUUUAAGUCAGUGGUGAAAGACCCCGGCUCAACCGGGGCAGUGCCAUUGAUACUGGGGAGCUUGAGUGUUGGAGGGGUACAUGGAAUUGAUGGUGUAGCGGUGAAAUGCAUAGAUACCAUCAGGAACACCGAUAGCGAAGGCAUUGUACUGGCCAACAACUGACGCUGAGGCACGAAAGCAUGGGUAGCGAACAGGAUUAGAAACCCUAGUAGUCC
This 444-nucleotide ribosomal RNA is filed under the name uncultured bacterium. RNAcentral's name for it is "bacterial SSU rRNA". It matches the Rfam family "Bacterial small subunit ribosomal RNA", at positions 354 to 796 of the family's 1533-position model. The record is from RNAcentral.